GGCUGUUCUCAGGGCGGGGUGAAAGUCCCCACCGGCGGUAAGAGCUUUGGCUCGAGCCCGCGAGCGCCUGCCGGCUUGCCGGGAGGGUCAGCAGAUCCGGUGCAAUUCCGGAGCCGACGGUUAAAGUCCGGAUGAAAGAGAAUGAGC
This 147-nucleotide non-coding RNA is filed under the name Rhizobium sp. RNAcentral describes it as "FMN sequence". It matches the Rfam family "FMN riboswitch aptamer (RFN element)". Rfam says of the family: The RFN element is a highly conserved domain that is found frequently in the 5'-untranslated regions of prokaryotic mRNAs that encode for flavin mononucleotide (FMN) biosynthesis and transport proteins. This element is a metabolite-dependent riboswitch that directly binds FMN in the absence of proteins. Lineage: Bacteria; Pseudomonadati; Pseudomonadota; Alphaproteobacteria; Hyphomicrobiales; Rhizobiaceae. The record is from RNAcentral.